UGUGUAGGCGGUUUGAUAAGUUGGAUGUGAAAGCUCCCGGCUCAACUGGGAGAGGUCGUUCAAAACUAUCAGACUCGAGAGUGGUAGAGGGAGGUGGAAUUCCGCGUGUAGUGGUGAAAUGCGUAGAUAUGCGGAGGAACACCAGUGGCGAAAGCGGCCUCCUGGCCCAUUUCUGACGCUCAGACACGAAAGCUAAGGUAGCAAACG
RNAcentral lists this ribosomal RNA (207 nucleotides) under uncultured Anaerolineaceae bacterium. RNAcentral's name for it is "partial 16S ribosomal RNA". It matches the Rfam family "Bacterial small subunit ribosomal RNA", at positions 568 to 774 of the family's 1533-position model. Lineage: Bacteria; Bacillati; Chloroflexota; Anaerolineae; Anaerolineales; Anaerolineaceae. The record is from RNAcentral.